RNAcentral lists this long non-coding RNA (1313 nucleotides) under Homo sapiens (human). RNAcentral describes it as "long intergenic non-protein coding RNA 1013". The record is from RNAcentral. Lineage: Eukaryota; Metazoa; Chordata; Mammalia; Primates; Hominidae.
GGAAAUACAGCUGAGAGCCUCUGUUGACAGAUGGAUGCCUUCUUAAUCACAGCCUGUGUGGGUAAAGGGAAAGCCUUGCCUGGCCAACCCCUCCCACUCCCACCCCCACCUCCUGCAUUGAUUCACAAACCUGGACUGCUCUGGAGGAGGCUGGGAAAGUCCAUCCCCAGGGAAUACCACUUUUUUCCUCUUCUGUGCCUCUCACAGGACACCCACAUGACUAGGAGGAGGCAGAAAGUGAAUAGGGAGCUCUUAUUACUUUUUGAGUGUCAGCAAGUUAAGACAUCAUCUCCAGAAAACUGUGCUAGUUGGCAUCCAGCAGUGCCCAAGUAUUAUUUAACCCACUAGAACCUGUGACUGCAUCAGCUUUAUAUCCUGGACCUCAGCCUGGAACAAAGGAGAGCUACACUUGGAUACUAAACACAAGUGGUCUGGAUAGAUUAUGCUGGGAAAAGAAGCCUGGAGCAGGCAGUACAGUGGGAGAACAAGGAGAGAAUGGAGUUGCAGCAGACUGCUCAGGAAUUGUACAUCACCAGUAGCUUCUGUCUCAGCUAAGUGUGGGAGACUGAUACUGAUGAGCCAUUAACAAUGGUGGAGAUUCUGAAUCACUGAAGCACUUGAUAAAAGAAAUGUCGUGGGUGAUGUGAAAAUCUACAUAUGCCCAUGAGAGUAUAUUGAGUUUACAGAAGUGCUUGCCUUGGUGAUCCAAAAAAGGCAGGAUCCGGCCGGGGGCAAGGUGAUUAUUCUGUCUGAUGAGGAGAAUAAGAGCCAGUUUGUGGUAUUGACAGAAGAAUGAAAGUAAAGUCUUGAAAGAUGGGAAGAUCAGGAGCAGUCUGGAGUCAUGGUAUAUGAAUGAACUAGUGAGAGUGGGCACAAAGUCUGAAGAUCUUUGUAGUGCAGCUAAUGUCUAAGGGAGAAUAUACCUACCCUAGAAGAGACAUUAAACAACCAGUUCAACCAAUCUACAAAGGCCAAAAAUAUUUUCACAGGCCCCCAAAAGAUGAACUCCAAUCUGCUGCCCCUAAACGCAUUCUCCACUGUCUGGAAGAUGUGCAAAGGCAACGGCACAGCGUUCUCCAUCUCAAAUCCUUCAAAGUGCUGUCAGAAUAAAAGAAUCCCCACCAAAAGCCCCAGGGAAAUCUAUCUGUCUGUAUGGUAUGGUAAUGACUGAGGUUAUUCCAGAUAGGAUUCUGGGAGAAACUCAGCUAUUGAAAUCUAAUGAAUGGAACUGAGAAUUUCUUGUUAUAAUACUGUUUGUUUGAUUGAAUAUAUCCUUGCAUAUAGGAAGACAUAAAAAUAAAUAAUAAAAGCAA